RNAcentral lists this ribosomal RNA (497 nucleotides) under uncultured bacterium. Its description in RNAcentral is "partial 16S ribosomal RNA". It matches the Rfam family "Bacterial small subunit ribosomal RNA", at positions 28 to 507 of the family's 1533-position model. The record is from RNAcentral.
GAUGAACGCUGGCGGCGUGCCUAAUACAUGCAAGUCGAGCGAACAGAUGAGGAGCUUGCUCCUCUGACGUUAGCGGCGGACGGGUGAGUAACACGUGGAUAACCUACCUAUAAGACUGGGAUAACUUCGGGAAACCGGAGCUAAUACCGGAUAAUAUAUUGAACCGCAUGGUUCAAUAGUGAAAGACGGUUUUGCUGUCACUUAUAGAUGGAUCCGCGCCGCAUUAGCUAGUUGGUAAGGUAACGGCUUACCAAGGCAACGAUGCGUAGCCGACCUGAGAGGGUGAUCGGCCACACUGGAACUGGGACACGGUCCAGACUCCUACGGGAGGCAGCAGUAGGGAAUCUUCCGCAAAGGGCGAAAGCCUGACGGAGCAACGCCGCGUGAGUGAUGAAGGUCUUCGGAUCGUAAAACUCUGUUAUUAGGGAAGAACAAAUGUGUAAGUAACUAUGCACGUCUUGACGGUACCUAAUCAGAAAGCCACGGCUAACUACGUG